UUCUCAGGCUACAUCACCGUCCAUCCAGGUAGGGCUCUGUUCUACUGGUUUUUUGAAGCUCAAUCUCAACCAUCCAAGAGGCCUCUCCUUCUCUGGCUUAAUGGAGGUCCUGGUAGUUCAUCAAUAGGAUAUGGUGAUGCUGUUGAAUUGGUCCUUCUUCGUGU
This is a long non-coding RNA of Telopea speciosissima, 164 nucleotides long. RefSeq lists it as uncharacterized. The transcript is spliced from 2 exons. The record is from RefSeq and is a predicted model, not a curated record. NCBI's taxonomy places the organism in Eukaryota, Viridiplantae, Streptophyta, Magnoliopsida, Proteales, Proteaceae.